AUGGAGUGGCUGAAUGAGGAUGUAGAGGAUCCGAUUGUGGAUGGAGCUGAUGCAGCUAGUGCUGUUUUUGAGCAAAUAAGGCACCUCAACUCAAGCAGGAAGGCGUCUUAUGUUGGUUCAAAGGGUAAUAACAAGAAAAGAAAGAGGAAUGAUGAUGAUGAGAAUGAGUUUCUUGAAACUGAGAGUGAGGAUGAUGAAGAAGAGAAUGAAUAUGUUGAUAAUGACAUCGAGGAUGAUGAUGGGGUGAGUGAGGAUGAUGAGGAUGGUGAACAAGAUCAGCUAGAGACACAAAUGCAAAUUGAAGAAGAGACACAAGUACAAGUUCAAAAGGAGGCACCAACAAGCACUGGCCAUUUGGAGACUAGAUCUGGACGACUUAUUAGGAAGAAGACCAAGAACGUCAACAGCCUCUACUCGUAA
This 420-nucleotide ribosomal RNA is filed under the name Triticum aestivum (bread wheat). RNAcentral describes it as "partial small subunit ribosomal RNA". The record is from RNAcentral. Lineage: Eukaryota; Viridiplantae; Streptophyta; Magnoliopsida; Poales; Poaceae.